RNAcentral lists this long non-coding RNA (390 nucleotides) under Setaria viridis. Its description in RNAcentral is "long non-coding RNA (SVIR_LNC006195)". Lineage: Eukaryota; Viridiplantae; Streptophyta; Magnoliopsida; Poales; Poaceae. The record is from RNAcentral.
UUUUUUUUUGAGUGGAUUGUUUUUCAGUUUUCGUAGACCGGAGCGGUAGCUUUUCAGGGCUUGUUUGGAAUGGAGUAUUUUCAAAGGAAUUUCAAAGGAUUCUCUUUCCUAUGUUUUCGUGACGUCACAGGCGUUUGGAACGAAGGAGCGGCCCUUCCCGUUCCGGAGGAAAGGUUUGAUCUCCUUUGCAAAACGCAGGAAAAAAAGAAUCCACCGGGAGCCAAAGUUUCCACUGAUAGCCGAGAAAAGCGCGCAUGAAGAGGGGCAGAGGGGGAGCAGCGCGCGCAAACAGAGGCUGGAAGAGAAUAGGAACUGGGGCGCCGGCGUUGGUGCCGCCGUCCUGCUCCCGCCGAUGGCCCCUUCCGAGAAGCAAGGCCGCCGUAGCCUCCC